AUACGGAGGGUGCAAGCGUUAUCCGGAAUCAUUGGGUUUAAAGGGUCCGUAGGCGGAUAAUUAAGUCAGGGGUGAAAUCCCACAGCUCAACUGUGGCACUGCCUUUGAUACUGGUUAUCUUGAGUUAUAGGGAAGUAGAUAGAAUAUGUAGUGUAGCGGUGAAAUGCAUAGAUAUUACAUAGAAUACCGAUUGCGAAGGCAGUCUACUAUCUGUAUACUGACGCUAAGGGACGAAAGCGUGGGGAGCGAACAGGAGUAGAAACCCCAGUAGUCC
This 274-nucleotide ribosomal RNA is filed under the name uncultured bacterium. Its description in RNAcentral is "partial 16S ribosomal RNA". It matches the Rfam family "Bacterial small subunit ribosomal RNA", at positions 523 to 796 of the family's 1533-position model. The record is from RNAcentral.